Molecule: long non-coding RNA, 1636 nt
Organism: Zingiber officinale
Lineage: Eukaryota; Viridiplantae; Streptophyta; Magnoliopsida; Zingiberales; Zingiberaceae
Exons: 4
Source: RefSeq, a predicted model, not a curated record
CUGAUGUGAGUUCUCUCUAACAUUUGAUCGGACCUUAUUCCUGGACAAAGUCGGACUUGACUUUCUUGAGGACUCGACUCAGUCUCUCGAAGUCAACUUUCUUGAGGACUCAGCUCAGCCUUCUUGAAGAUUCAGCUUCCUUAAGGACUCGAUUUUCUUAAGGACUCAAAGUCCGGUCAAGCCGAGUGAACUCGGGCUCUGAUCGACCAAAAGUAUGGUCAACUUAGAUUGUUCAAUUGAGUCAUACAACUAUGUGCUUCCGAAUUGAACUAAAAUGAUUCGGCUCGAGAUUUUCUCAAGCUAAGGGAAUUCAGACUUCGGUCCCAUCGGCUAAACUAUUUGACAGAGCCAUGUGACCAUGCUUCUCGGUUGAGACUUCCUUGACGGCCACAUCAGCCAGCCCGCUUUCUCGACCUCGAUCUCUAUCUUAUUCGGGACAUGGCAGAGCAGCGAUCCACUUCGCCGUGUGCAUUGCGAUACGAACACCCCGACAACGUUGAUGGCUUCAAUCGCGGACUCGCCAAGUGUAAUUCCUCCGCUGGCAGCCGUCUCUUGCUGCGUGAACGGAACGAGGAUCAGAGAUGCGGAUGAACAUCGGGCGAAGAGGCGAUUGGAAUGGAAAGAAAGUGCAAGUAGAGGUGGAGGGACAGAUCUGGACGCAUGGCUGACAGAAGAGAGGGAGCACAGGAUGAAAACAGUAAAAAAGAUGAGAGAUACUGUUGUUCCCUGCCUACUCACUUAUUUUCCUGUCAGCCGCCUCUUCUCCUUCUUUCGCCCACUGUUAUUCUGGUUCUUACCCCCUUUAAAUUGCCUCGGCAGUGUCCUUAAAAAAAGAUCGGCCGCAUGAAAGACGGAGAUGAAAGACGGAGCUGACAGAAGAGAGUGAGCACAGGGUGGAAACACUAGAAAAAAGAUGAGCUACUGUUGUUUCCACUGCGUGCUCACUUGUCUUCCUGUCAGCCAGCCUCCUCUUCUCCUUCUUCUCCAGUCCACUGUUUCUCUGUUUCUUACACCUUCAAAUUGCCUCGGUAGUAGAGAACAGCUGCGUUGGCACCCAACAGCUGAAGAACAAGAAAAACAGAAAAAGAUUUUUCGCUUGUCUUCCACUGUUAGUAUGGAUAAUUUCCACCGAUGCGCAGGCGGAGUCUGAUUUCUUGUAAUUAAUUACUCUGGAACCUUGCGCAACUUUUGAGGAGUAGAGUGUACCGAUUAGGAUAAGGGCUACAGUGAGGUACAGUAGUGCAUCUCCUCUCUUAAAUUAAUCUAAUAGUGUUUGUGCGGAUCGUCCUUGUCUUUAUCUCCCUCUUCUCUUCCCCGUUUUCGGCCCUUCUUCCUCGAGACACCUUCGAAAAAGCUGGGAUGACGGAGUUCUAUUUCCUUGUUGAAAGAAAGCUACGGGUUAAACUCCAGUUGCUAGCUUUUUGUUGUUUGCCUUGCCCUGCCUUUGACAUGGUUGAGGAUGUCCAGAGAGUUCCAGUCGUUAGUCCUCUGCAGGUCGAGAGGAUAUGUUGUUUCGGACUUUUGGUUCUUAUUUUCUUAUUGCACUAUCUGGACUUGUAUUAGUUUACUUUAUGGAGGUUGUCGAUGGGUUUUAUUUGGAUUUGUUUUACUACAUGCCUGUCUGGACGGCAAAAGA